Molecule: ribosomal RNA, 405 nt
Filed under: uncultured bacterium
Lineage: Bacteria
Description: bacterial SSU rRNA
Rfam family: Bacterial small subunit ribosomal RNA
Source: RNAcentral
AACGAACGCUGGCGGCAUGCCUAACACAUGCAAGUCGAACGAGACCUUCGGGUCUAGUGGCGCACGGGUGCGUAACGCGUGGGAACCUGCCUUAAGGUUCGGAAUAACAGUGAGAAAUUACUGCUAAUACCGGAUAAUGUCUUCGGACCAAAGAUUUAUCGCCUUUAGAUGGGCCCGCGUUGGAUUAGCUAGUUGGUGGGGUAAAGGCCUACCAAGGCGACGAUCCAUAGCUGGUCUGAGAGGAUGAUCAGCCACACUGGGACUGAGACACGGCCCAGACUCCUACGGGAGGCAGCAGUGGGGAAUAUUGGACAAUGGGCGAAAGCCUGAUCCAGCAAUGCCGCGUGAGUGAUGAAGGCCUUAGGGUUGUAAAGCUCUUUUACUGGGGAUGAUAAUGACAGUACC